Molecule: ribosomal RNA, 253 nt
Filed under: uncultured bacterium
Lineage: Bacteria
Description: partial 16S ribosomal RNA
Rfam family: Bacterial small subunit ribosomal RNA
Source: RNAcentral
UACGGGGGGGGCAAGCGUUGUUCGGAAUUACUGGGCGUAAAGGGCUCGUAGGCGGCCAUUUAAGUCAGACGUGAAAGCCCUCGGCUUAACCGGGGAACGGCGUCUGAGACUGGGCGGCUUGAAUCCGGGAGAGGGAUGCGGAAUUCCAGGUGUAGCGGUGAAAUGCGUAGAUAUCUGGAGGAACACCGGUGGCGAAGGCGGCAUCCUGGACCGGUAUUGACGCUGAGACGCGAAAGCGUGGGGAGCGAACAGG